Molecule: ribosomal RNA, 253 nt
Filed under: uncultured bacterium
Lineage: Bacteria
Description: partial 16S ribosomal RNA
Rfam family: Bacterial small subunit ribosomal RNA
Source: RNAcentral
UACGGGGGGGGCAAGCGUUGUUCGGAAUUACUGGGCGUAAAGGGUUUGUAGGUGGCUUGUUAAGUCAGACGUGAAAUCCCUCAGCUUAACUGGGGAACUGCGUCUGAUACUGGCGAGCUUGAGUGCAGGAGAGGAACGCGGAAUUCCAGGUGUAGCGGUGAAAUGCGUAGAUAUCUGGAGGAACACCGGUGGCGAAGGCGGCUGCCUGGGCCUGGCCUGACGCUGAGGCGCGAAAGCGUGGGGAGCGAUCCGG